RNAcentral lists this non-coding RNA (147 nucleotides) under Evansella cellulosilytica. Its description in RNAcentral is "Bacillus cellulosilyticus FMN sequence". It matches the Rfam family "FMN riboswitch aptamer (RFN element)". Rfam says of the family: The RFN element is a highly conserved domain that is found frequently in the 5'-untranslated regions of prokaryotic mRNAs that encode for flavin mononucleotide (FMN) biosynthesis and transport proteins. The record is from RNAcentral. Lineage: Bacteria; Bacillati; Bacillota; Bacilli; Caryophanales; Bacillaceae. RNAcentral also lists the same sequence under 1 other name.
CGAAUCCUUCGGGGUAGGGUGAAAUUCCCAACCGGCGGUGAUGAAGAAUAGAAAACUUCUAAGCCCGUGACCCGGCACUUUUUAGUGACGGUGGAUACUGGUGCAAAACCAGAGCCGACAGUAUAGUCUGGAUGGGAGAAGGAAUUA